CACAAAAUAAGAACUAAAAUAAACAUUAAGCAAGAGUAUUCAGCGUCCCUGUACAAAUCACAUUGAAAGAAGUUCAUAACAGAGUUUUUGAAUCAACUAGUAAUUUUUUCAAGGCAUAAUACAACUCAAACACCAGGCAUAUGAGAAUUCCAAAAUUCUUUGUUAUGUACUGUUGUUUCCCACUCCUUAAAACAACCAGGUAUGACC
RNAcentral lists this unclassified non-coding RNA (207 nucleotides) under Hevea brasiliensis (rubber tree). The record is from RNAcentral. Lineage: Eukaryota; Viridiplantae; Streptophyta; Magnoliopsida; Malpighiales; Euphorbiaceae.